AAAGUGGCGUGGUAACCAGGCAACUACUGAUCAAUCCCCUCCCCGGCUGAUUUGCGCAUCAGGACCUGACAGACAUCUACUUGCUGCGCUCCUACAUCCAUCUGCGCUAUGUGGAUAUUUCUGAGAACCACCUGACAGACCUGUCUCCACUCAACUACCUCACCCACCUGCUCUGGCUCAAGGCUGAUGGCAAUCGGCUGCGAAGUGCCCAGAUGAAUGAACUGCCCUACCUGCAGAUUGCUAGUUUUGCUUAUAACCAGAUUACUGACACUGAAGGCAUCUCU
RNAcentral lists this long non-coding RNA (284 nucleotides) under Homo sapiens (human). RNAcentral's name for it is "HSALNT0184972". The record is from RNAcentral. Lineage: Eukaryota; Metazoa; Chordata; Mammalia; Primates; Hominidae.